This 425-nucleotide ribosomal RNA is filed under the name uncultured bacterium. RNAcentral's name for it is "partial 16S ribosomal RNA". It matches the Rfam family "Bacterial small subunit ribosomal RNA", at positions 354 to 796 of the family's 1533-position model. The record is from RNAcentral.
GUGGGGAAUCUUGCGCAAUGGGCGAAAGCCUGACGCAGCCAUGCCGCGUGAAUGAUGAAGGUCUUAGGAUUGUAAAAUUCUUUCACCGGGGACGAUAAUGACGGUACCCGGAGAAGAAGCUCCGGCUAACUUCGUGCCAGCAGCCGCGGUAAUACGAAGGGGGCUAUCGUUGCUCGGAAUUACUGGGCGUAAAGGGCGCGUUGGCGGACAGCUUUGUCAGAGGUGAAAGCCCAGGGCUCAACCUUGGAAUUGCCAUUGGUACUGGCUGGCUUGAGUUUGGGAGAGGAUAGUGGAACUCCGAGUGUAGAGGUGAAAUUCGUAGAUAUUCGGAAGAACACCAGUGGCGAAGGCGACUCACUGGCCCAAUACUGACGCUGAGGCGCGAAAGCGUGGGGAGCAAACAGGAUUAGAUACCCCUGUAGUCC